GGGGAAUCUUGCACAAUGGGGGCAACCCUGAUGCAGCGACGCCGCGUGAGCGAUGAAGCCCUUCGGGGCGUAAGGCUCUUUCGACCGGAACGAUAAUGACGGUACCGGGAGAAGAAGCUGCGGCUAACUACGUGCCAGCAGCCGCGGUAAUACGUAGGCAGCAAGCGUUGUUCGGAGUUACUGGGCGUAAAGAGUGCGUAGGCGGUUUUCUAAGUUCGGUGUGAAAUCUCCCGGCUUAACUGGGAGGGUGCGCCGAAGACUGGGAAGCUGGAGUGUGGGAAAGGCAGGCGGAAUUCCUGGUGUAGCGGUGAAAUGCGUAGAUAUCAGGAGGAACACCGGCGGUGUAGACGGCUUGCUAGACCAUAACUGACGCUGAGGCACGAAAGCGUGGGUAGCAAACA
This 401-nucleotide ribosomal RNA is filed under the name uncultured bacterium. RNAcentral describes it as "bacterial SSU rRNA". It matches the Rfam family "Bacterial small subunit ribosomal RNA", at positions 356 to 774 of the family's 1533-position model. The record is from RNAcentral.